CCUACGGGCGGCAGCAGUGGGGAAUAUUGCACAAUGGGGGGAACCCUGAUGCAGCAACGCCGCGUGGGUGAAGAAGUAUUUCGGUAUGUAAAGCUCUAUCAGCAGGGAAGAAAAUGACGGUACCUGACUAAGAAGCCCCGGCUAACUACGUGCCAGCAGCCGCGGUAAUACGUAGGGGGCAAGCGUUAUCCGGAUUUACUGGGUGUAAAGGGAGCGUAGACGGCUGUGCAAGCCAGAUGUGAAAGCCCGGGGCUCAACCCCGGGACUGCAUUUGGAACUGUGUGGCUGGAGUGUCGGAGAGGCAGGCGGAAUUCCUAGGGUAGCGGUGAAAUGCGUAGAUAUUAGGAGGAACACCAGUGGCGAAGGCGGCCUGCUGGACGAUGACUGACGUUGAGGCUCGAAAGCGUGGGGAGCAAACAGGAUUAGAUACCCGAGUAGUC
Molecule: ribosomal RNA, 440 nt
Filed under: uncultured bacterium
Lineage: Bacteria
Description: partial 16S ribosomal RNA
Rfam family: Bacterial small subunit ribosomal RNA
Source: RNAcentral